RNAcentral lists this long non-coding RNA (264 nucleotides) under Cricetulus griseus (Chinese hamster). Its description in RNAcentral is "lncRNA (ENSCGRG00000025985.1)". Lineage: Eukaryota; Metazoa; Chordata; Mammalia; Rodentia; Cricetidae. The record is from RNAcentral.
UGGACUUUAGCUCCCAGACUCAACAAAACACAUUGUCUGGAAGUUCUCAGUUGAUUAUCUUUCCUUUUAUUUUUCUUAGGAACAUGGAAAGAGAGGAAGGCAUCUGCUGGAUAUGGAAACAUUCAAAUGCAUAAUGAAGCAAAGUAUGAGGCCACACAGCCAAAGUAUUGGACAAAUAGAGCAACUCUUCAUGAAAAUAGACUAUGAGGCAGUGGGGAGAAUCCAGUGGGUAAGUUACAUUGUGUAAAUACAACUUAAAGCUGG